RNAcentral lists this ribosomal RNA (913 nucleotides) under uncultured bacterium. RNAcentral describes it as "bacterial SSU rRNA". It matches the Rfam family "Bacterial small subunit ribosomal RNA", at positions 28 to 989 of the family's 1533-position model. The record is from RNAcentral.
AACGUACGCUGGCGGCACGCCUAACACAUGCAAGUCGAACGAAGUAGCAAUACUUAGUGGCAGACGGGUGAGUAACAUGUGGGUAUCUACCCUUUGGCCUGGAAUAACACGAGGAAACUUGUGCUAAUACCGGAUAAGUCUUUACGGAGAAAGCUUUAUGCACCAUUGGAUGAGCCCGCACUUGAUUAGUUUGUUGGUAGGGUAAUGGCCUACCAAGACUAUGAUCAAUAGCUGAUUUGAGAGGAUGAUCAGCCACAUUGGGACUGAGACACGGCCCAAACUCCUACGGGAGGCAGCAGUGGGGAAUCUUGCACAAUGGAGGAAACUCUGAUGCAGCGAUGCCGCGUGAGUGAAGAAGGCCUUUGGGUUGUAAAGCUCUUUCGUCGGGGAAGAAAAUGACUGUACCCGAAUAAGAAGGUCCGGCUAACUUCGUGCCAGCAGCCGCGGUAAUACGAAGGGACCUAGCGUAGUUCGGAAUUACUGGGCUUAAAGAGUUCGUAGGUGGUUGAAAAAGUUGGUGGUGAAAUCCCAGAGCUUAACUCUGGAACUGCCAUCAAAACUUUUCAGCUAGAGUAUGAUAGAGGAAAGCAGAAUUUCUAGUGUAGAGGUGAAAUUCGUAGAUAUUAGAAAGAAUACCAAUUGCGAAGGCAGCUUUCUGGAUCAUUACUGACACUGAGGAACGAAAGCAUGGGUAGCGAAGAGGAUUAGAUACCCUCGUAGUCCAUGCCGUAAACGAUGUGUGUUAGGCGUUGGAAAUUUAUUUUCAGUGUCGCAGGGAAACCGAUAAACACACCGCCUGGGGAGUACGACCGCAAGGUUAAAACUCAAAUGAAUUGACGGGGACCCGCACAAGUAGUGGAGCAUGUGGUUUAAUUCGAAGAUACGCGCAGAACCUUACCAACACUUGACAUGU